Molecule: long non-coding RNA, 1525 nt
Organism: Amphiprion ocellaris (clown anemonefish)
Lineage: Eukaryota; Metazoa; Chordata; Actinopteri; Pomacentridae
Exons: 2
Source: RefSeq, a predicted model, not a curated record
UAAUCAAUGUCAUGCAUCCUUAUGUGCAGCCACCGUUGUUCUCAUAGAUAUGAAUGAGUAGAUAGGACACGCCCCUUUGAGCUGCGGCUACAGCGAGGCUAAGCUAGUGGGGGCAAAGUUUCAGUGCAUUCCGUUGAUGUAGACGGCGUGAAAACGGAAACAAGAAGUAUGCCAGCUCACUGUGCUGCAUACAAUUGCACACUGCGUCAUACGAUUGAGACAAGGAAACUUGGAAUGACUUUUCAUAGGUAAGAAUAGCUUUUGGCUCUUUUUUCAUUAUGAAAUCUUGUUGAGAGCUUCCAGUCUAUGAGAGCUAACUAGUUAGCCACUAGCAAAACGCUAAGGUGAGCUAGCAGCUUGACAACCAAAUACAAGACGAUUAAUAGUAGCUGUAGUAUAGUUGUACAAGCAGUAGUAGUAAUACUAAAAGUACAAGCAGCAGUAGUAGUAUAAACAGCUGUUAGAGUCGUAGAAGUAGUAUCAGCAUUUGUAAUAGUAUUACAAGUUGUAGUAGCAGUGCCAGUAUCAGCAGCAGUAGUUAGUGUACUACCACUACUACUAGUAGUAGUCACAUUGCUAUUACUACCACCAAUACUACCAAUAGUAGUUAUAAAGCCUAACUCAUAUAUAUCCAGAUUACCAUCUAUGUUCUUCCUCCAAACCCAUUUUAUGAUUGGGAUUACAGGCAGUUCUUUAGGACUGCUCUCAAAUAAUUGAAAUGUUACUAAACAAGGUUAUACUUAUCAAAUUAAAUAGCUCUGGUCUCCAGUAUAUUGGUGAAUUCGGUUCUUUGUACUUAAUUUAUUAGCAUGAUUUCUUUUUAAUAUGUUGUGUACAGACUUAAUUACUUCUCUGUCUACUUUUCUUACUCCAUGUAGGUUUCCCAGAGACUAUGGGUUGAGGAGGAAUUGGAAGUCUGUCGGCUUAGACCUGGUGUCAUUCCAUCAGUGUUUAACUUCCCGGCUCAUCUUGGAAGAGUACGUGCCAGAAAGACCACGACCAAGCAGCCUUGAGAUCUUAGGCAGCGUCUCCCUCAGGUCCCUCUCUAUCUCCCCACACAUCCACCAACCACUGGAACACAUCUCCAAAGUUCUGCAGGGCCAGCUCAGCUUCCCCUCAGAAGAAGUGCUGCCACCUGCCAGAUGAAGGAGCCUUUUGAGAGGCAGCUGGCAUCGUGAUUGGACUGUACUUUGGUCUGUUCCAAUCCAGCUUCAGCUCCAGAGACGGCAGGUGGGACGAGUCAACAGAGGCCGGGUGGACGAAGGCAUGCAGCUGAGUACAAUCUAGAAAACAACAGAGGAGGAGUGCAGCGGCCCAGGGCCAGAACACAGUAGCAUGGUAUGUCUCUCAGAAAACAUCAUAGUAUAGCCUUUGGUAUGAAAAAAACGCCAUCAUAUACUGUACAAAUAAGUCAAAGCAAAGAGACAUACAUUGUAGAAUUGUAGUAAUUGUGGGCUGACUGAUUUACUGAUUAUCAGUAUUUUAUUUUUUACUGAUUUACGGUAAUAAAUACAUUUAAAAAUGG